Molecule: ribosomal RNA, 398 nt
Filed under: uncultured bacterium
Lineage: Bacteria
Description: partial 16S ribosomal RNA
Rfam family: Bacterial small subunit ribosomal RNA
Source: RNAcentral
AUACGUAGGGUGCGAGCGUUGUCCGGAAUUACUGGGCGUAAAGAGCUCGUAGGUGGUUUGUCGCGUCGUCUGUGAAAUUCCGGGGCUUAACUCCGGGCGUGCAGGCGAUACGGGCAUAACUUGAGUACUGUAGGGGAGACUGGAAUUCCUGGUGUAGCGGUGAAAUGCGCAGAUAUCAGGAGGAACACCGGUGGCGAAGGCGGGUCGCUGGGCAGUAACUGACGCUGAGGAGCGAAAGCAGGGGUAGCGAACAGGAUUAGAUACCCUGGUAGUCCAUGCCGUAAACGGUGGGCGCUAGGUGUAGGGGUCUUCCACGACUUCUGUGCCGUAGCUAACGCAUUAAGCGCCCCGCCUGGGGAGUACGGCCGCAAGGCUAAAACUCAAAUGAAUUGACGGGG